ACGCUCGACACCUACGGGGGGCAGCAGUUGGGAAUAUUGGACAAUGGAGGAAACUCUGAUCCAGUGACGCCGCGUGAAGGAAGAAGGUCUUCGGAUUGUAAACUUAUUUUGUCAGGGAAGAAAAAAUGACUGUACCUGAAGAAAAAGCACCGGCUAACUACGUGCCAGCAGCCGCGGUAAUCUGAGCGGGCUGGCAAGGC
Molecule: ribosomal RNA, 200 nt
Filed under: uncultured bacterium
Lineage: Bacteria
Description: partial 16S ribosomal RNA
Rfam family: Bacterial small subunit ribosomal RNA
Source: RNAcentral